This 484-nucleotide ribosomal RNA is filed under the name uncultured bacterium. RNAcentral describes it as "partial 16S ribosomal RNA". It matches the Rfam family "Bacterial small subunit ribosomal RNA", at positions 28 to 507 of the family's 1533-position model. The record is from RNAcentral.
AUUGAACGCUGGCGGCAUGCUUUACACAUGCAAGCCGAACGGCAGCACGGGCUUCGGCCUGGCGGCGAGUGGCGAACGGGUGAGUAAUGCAUCGGAACGUGCCCAGUAGUGGGGGAUAGCCCGGCGAAAGCCGGAUUAAUACCGCAUACGACCUGAGGGUGAAAGCGGGGGACCGAAAGGCCUCGCGCUAUUGGAGCGGCCGAUGUCGGAUUAGCUAGUUGGUGGGGUAAAGGCUUACCAAGGCGACGAUCCGUAGCUGGUCUGAGAGGACGACCAGCCACACUGGGACUGAGACACGGCCCAGACUCCUACGGGAGGCAGCAGUGGGGAAUUUUGGACAAUGGGGGCAACCCUGAUCCAGCCAUGCCGCGUGCGGGGAGAAGGCCUUCGGGUUGUAAACCGCUUUUGUUCGGGAAGAAAUCCUCUGGGCUAAUACCCCGGGGGGAUGACGGUACCGGAAGAAUAAGCACCGGCUAACUACGUG